Molecule: ribosomal RNA, 497 nt
Filed under: uncultured bacterium
Lineage: Bacteria
Description: partial 16S ribosomal RNA
Rfam family: Bacterial small subunit ribosomal RNA
Source: RNAcentral
GACGAACGCUGGCGGCGUGCCUAAUACAUGCAAGUAGAACGCUGAAGCGAGGAGCUUGCUCUUCUUGGAUGAGUUGCGAACGGGUGAGUAACGCGUAGGUAACCUGCCUUGUAGCGGGGGAUAACUAUUGGAAACGAUAGCUAAUACCGCAUAACAAUGGAUGACACAUGUCAUUUAUUUGAAAGGGGCAAUUGCUCCACUACAAGAUGGACCUGCGUUGUAUUAGCUAGUAGGUGAGGUAAUGGCUCACCUAGGCGACGAUACAUAGCCGACCUGAGAGGGUGAUCGGCCACCCUGGGACUGAGACACGGCCCAGACUCCUACGGGAGGCAGCAGUAGGGAAUCUUCGGCAAUGGGGGCAAACCUGACCGAGAAACGCCGCGGGAGUGAAGAAGGUUGUCGGGUCGUAAAGCUCUGUUGUAAGUCAAGAACGGGUGUGAGAGUGGAAAGUUCACACUGUGACGGUAGCUGACCAGAAAGGGACGGCUAACUACGUG